GUGAUUUUUAUCUGCAUUGGAUCUACUUUAAUAAACCCCACAGCCUGAAUAGCAGCUACUAGGGUAGUGCCAGUGGAUGUAUAUGGAGACUGGGCUGGAAUGGCUGAGUGUGUGGGUGCGCAGCUGGGAGCAGCCAUGGCAGUAAGUAGACAGCCAGUAACUUCUGAUAAAAGGGAGUAUCUGAAAACUGAAAGGCCCCAUAGGAAUGCCAACAACAUUUCAGAAGUUUUCAACCCAAAUUAAAGACGAAAAAAGUGAAGUAGAUGAUGCAAUAAAGAGUUGGCAAAUUCCCAGCUGGGCGCGGUGGCUCACGCCUGUAAUCCCAGCACUUUGGAAGGCCAAGGCGGGCGGAUCACGAGCAUGGUCUAUAGAAGAAGAAAGAAUUCAUCAUCAUUUCUAGGAAUAUCCCCAAUCAUAAUCCUAAGACUCCAGCUCAAAACAAUAACUGGCAACUCUUCAAUAAUUAAUUAAAGGAAGGCACACCCUC
Molecule: long non-coding RNA, 487 nt
Filed under: Homo sapiens (human)
Lineage: Eukaryota; Metazoa; Chordata; Mammalia; Primates; Hominidae
Description: non-protein coding LINC02252:7
Source: RNAcentral